AUCCAGCUGACGACUCCCAAAUAGGACGAAAUACACACCCUGGAU
Trichobilharzia regenti is the source of this 45-nucleotide non-coding RNA. Lineage: Eukaryota; Metazoa; Platyhelminthes; Trematoda; Strigeidida; Schistosomatidae. The record is from Rfam.